Molecule: ribosomal RNA, 497 nt
Filed under: uncultured bacterium
Lineage: Bacteria
Description: partial 16S ribosomal RNA
Rfam family: Bacterial small subunit ribosomal RNA
Source: RNAcentral
GAUGAACGCUGGCGGCGUGCCUAAUACAUGCAAGUCGAGCGAACGGACGAGAAGCUUGCUUCUCUGAUGUUAGCGGCGGACGGGCGCGUCACACGUGGACCCCCUCCCUCCCAGCCUCGGCUCACUUCCCGACACCCCCCCCCAUCCCCCCUCCUCUUUUCCACCGCAUGGUUCAAAAGUGAAAGACGGUCUUGCUGUCACUUAUAGAUGGAUCCGCGCUGCAUUAGCUAGUUGGUAAGGUAACGGCUUACCAAGGCAACGAUGCAUAGCCGACCUGAGAGGGUGAUCGGCCACACUGGAACUGAGACACGGUCCAGACUCCUACGGGAGGCAGCAGUAGGGAAUCUUCCGCAAUGGGCGAAAGCCUGACGGAGCAACGCCGCGUGAGUGAUGAAGGUCUUCGGAUCGUAAAACUCUGUUAUUAGGGAAGAACAUAUGUGUAAGUAACUGUGCACAUCUUGACGGUACCUAAUCAGAAAGCCACGGCUAACUACGUG